Molecule: ribosomal RNA, 254 nt
Filed under: uncultured bacterium
Lineage: Bacteria
Description: partial 16S ribosomal RNA
Rfam family: Bacterial small subunit ribosomal RNA
Source: RNAcentral
UACGGAGGGUGCAAGCGUUAUCCGGAAUCACUGGGUUUAAAGGGUGCGUAGGCGGUCUGAUAAGUCAGUUGUGAAAUUCCCCGGCUUAACCGGGUGGACUGCGAUUGAUACUGUUAGACUUGAAUCAGGUUGAGGUAGGCGGAAUGUGACAUGUAGCGGUGAAAUGCUUAGAUAUGUCAUAGAACACCGAUUGCGAAGGCAGCUUGCUGGGCUUCGAUUGACGCUGAGGCACGAAAGCGUGGGGAGCAAACAGG